This 253-nucleotide ribosomal RNA is filed under the name uncultured bacterium. RNAcentral's name for it is "partial 16S ribosomal RNA". It matches the Rfam family "Bacterial small subunit ribosomal RNA", at positions 524 to 776 of the family's 1533-position model. The record is from RNAcentral.
UACGUAGGGGGCAAGCGUUGUCCGGAAUCAUUGGGCGUAAAGAGCGUGUAGGCGGCCCGGUAAGUCCGCUGUGAAAGUCGGGGGCUCAACCCUCGGAAGCCGGUGGAUACUGUCGGGCUCGAGUACGGAAGAGGCGAGUGGAAUUCCUGGUGUAGCGGUGAAAUGCGCAGAUAUCAGGAGGAACACCAAUUGCGAAGGCAGCUCGCUGGGACGUCACUGACGCUGAGACGCGAAAGCGUGGGGAGCAAACAGG